AUGGGCGAGAGCCUGAACCAGCCAAGUAGCGUGCAGGAUGACGGCCCUAUGGGUUGUAAACUGCUUUUAUAGGGGGAUAAAGUGUGCCACGUGUGGCAUAUUGCAGGUACCCUAUGAAUAAGGACCGGCUAAUUCCGUGCCAGCAGCCGCGGUAAUACGGAAGGUCCGGGCGUUAUCCGGAUUUAUUGGGUUUAAAGGGAGCGUAGGCCGUCUUAUAAGCGUGUUGUGAAAUGUCGGGGCUCAACCUGGGCAUUGCAGCGCGAACUGUGAGACUUGAGUGCGCAGGAAGUAGGCGGAAUUCGUCGUGUAGCGGUGAAAUGCUUAGAUAUGACGAAGAACUCCGAUUGCGAAGGCAGCCUGCUGUAGCGCAACUGACGCUGAAGCUCGAAAGCGUGGGUAUCGAACAGGAUUAGAUACCCUGGUAGUCCACGCGGUAAACGAUGGAUGCUCGCUGUUUGCGUCUGACGUAAGCGGCCAAGCGAAAGCGUUAAGCAUCCCACCUGGGGAGUACGCCGGCAACGGUGAAACUCAAAGGAAUUGACGGGGGCCCGCACAAGCGGAGGAACAUGUGGUUUAAUUCGAUGAUACGCGAGGAACCUUACCCGGGCUUGAACUGCAGGCGAACGAUUCAGAGAUGAUGAGGCCCUUCGGGGCGCCUAUGGAGGUGCUGCAUGGUUGUCGUCAGCUCGUGCCGUGAGGUGUCGGCUUAAGUGCCAUAACGAGCGCAACCCUUGUUCGUAGUUGCCAUCGGGUUAUGCCGGGCACUCUGCGAAGACUGCCUCCGUAAGGAGUGAGGAAGGUGGGGAUGACGUCAAAUCAGCACGGCCCUUACGUCCGGGGCUACACACGUGUUACAAUGGCAUGUACAGAAAGCAGGGUGUAUGCAAAUACGCUCGAAUCCCUAAAACAUGUCUCAGUUCGGACUGGGGUCUGCAACCCGACCCCACGAAGCUGGAUUCGC
RNAcentral lists this ribosomal RNA (961 nucleotides) under human gut metagenome. Its description in RNAcentral is "bacterial SSU rRNA". It matches the Rfam family "Bacterial small subunit ribosomal RNA", at positions 371 to 1335 of the family's 1533-position model. The record is from RNAcentral.